CCGGGCCUACGGGGGGCAGCAGUGGGGAAUAUUGCACAAUGGGGGAAACCCUGAUGCAGCGACGCCGCGUGAAGGAAGAAGUAUUUCGGUAUGUAAAAUUCUAUCAGCAGGGAAGAAAAUGACGGUACCUGACUAAGAAGCCCCGGCUAACUACGUGCCAGCAGCCGCGGUAAUACGUAGGGGGCAAGCGUUCUCCGGAUUUACUGGGUGUAAAGGGAGCGUAGGCGGUGCAGCAAGUCAGAAGUGAAAGCCCGGGGAUC
Molecule: ribosomal RNA, 260 nt
Filed under: uncultured bacterium
Lineage: Bacteria
Description: partial 16S ribosomal RNA
Rfam family: Bacterial small subunit ribosomal RNA
Source: RNAcentral